AUUGAACGCUGGCGGCAGGCCUAACACAUGCAAGUCGAACGGUAACAGGAAGAAGCUUGCUUCUUUGCUGACGAGUGGCGGACGGGUGAGUAAUGUCUGGGAAACUGCCUGAUGGAGGGGGAUAACUACUGGAAACGGUAGCUAAUACCGCAUAACGUCCCAAGACCAAAGAGGGGGACCUUCGGGCCUCUUGCCAUCGGAUGUGCCCAGAUGGGAUUAGCUAGUAGGUGGGGUAACGGCUCACCUAGGCGACGAUCCCUAGCUGGUCUGAGAGGAUGACCAGCCACACUGGAACUGAGACACGGUCCAGACUCCUACGGGAGGCAGCAGUGGGGAAUAUUGCACAAUGGGCGCAAGCCUGAUGCAGCCAUGCCGCGUGUAUGAAGAAGGCCUUCGGGUUGUAAAGUACUUUCAGCGGGGAGGAAGGGAGUAAAGUUAAUACCUUUGCUCAUUGACGUUACCCGCAGAAGAAGCACCGGCUAACUCCGUG
This 490-nucleotide ribosomal RNA is filed under the name uncultured bacterium. RNAcentral's name for it is "partial 16S ribosomal RNA". It matches the Rfam family "Bacterial small subunit ribosomal RNA", at positions 30 to 507 of the family's 1533-position model. The record is from RNAcentral.